CCUACGGGGUGCAGCAGUAGGGAAUCUUCGGCAAUGGACGAAAGUCUGACCGAGCAACGCCGCGUGAGUGAAGAAGGUUUUCGGAUCGUAAAACUCUGUUGUUAGAGAAGAGCAAGUAGGAGAGUAACUGCUCUUACCUUGACGGUAUCUAACCAGAAAGCCACGGCUAACUACGUGCCAGCAGCCGCGGUAAUACGUAGGAGGCAAGCGCUGUCCGGAUUUAUUGGGCGUAAAGGGCUCGCAGGCGGUUUCUUAAGUCUGAUGUGCAAGCCCCCGGCUCAACCGGGGAGGGUCAUUGGAAACUGGGGAACUUGAGUGCAGAAGAGGAGAGUGGAAUUCCACGUGUAGCGGUGAAAUGCGUAGAGAUGUGGAGGAACACCAGUGGCGAAGGCGACUCUCUGGUCUGUAACUGACGCUGAGGAGCGAAAGCGUGGGGAGCGAACAGGAUUAGAUACCCGCGUAGUC
RNAcentral lists this ribosomal RNA (465 nucleotides) under uncultured bacterium. Its description in RNAcentral is "bacterial SSU rRNA". It matches the Rfam family "Bacterial small subunit ribosomal RNA", at positions 338 to 795 of the family's 1533-position model. The record is from RNAcentral.